AUUGAACGCUGGCGGCAUGCUUUACACAUGCAAGUCGAACGGCAGCGCGGGCUUCGGCCUGGCGGCGAGUGGCGAACGGGUGAGUAAUGCAUCGGAACGUGCCCAGUAGUGGGGGAUAGCCCGGCGAAAGCCGGAUUAAUACCGCAUACGACCUGAGGGUGAAAGCGGGGGACCGAAAGGCCUCGCGCUAUUGGAGCGGCCGAUGUCGGAUUAGCUAGUUGGUGGGGUAAAGGCUUACCAAGGCGACGAUCCGUAGCUGGUCUGAGAGGACGACCAGCCACACUGGGACUGAGACACGGCCCAGACUCCUACGGGAGGCAGCAGUGGGGAAUUUUGGACAAUGGGGGCAACCCUGAUCGAGCCAUGCCGCGUGCGGGAAGAAGGCCUUCGGGUUGUAAACCGCUUUUGUUCGGGAAGAAAUCCUCUGGGCUAAUACCCCGGGGGGAUGACGGUACCGGAAGAAUAAGCACCGGCUAACUACGUG
This 484-nucleotide ribosomal RNA is filed under the name uncultured bacterium. RNAcentral describes it as "partial 16S ribosomal RNA". It matches the Rfam family "Bacterial small subunit ribosomal RNA", at positions 28 to 507 of the family's 1533-position model. The record is from RNAcentral.